ACCUGGUGGCGAGCGGCGGACGGGUGAGUAAUGCCUAGGAAUCUGCCUGGUAGUGGGGGAUAACGCUCGGAAACGGACGCUAAUACCGCAUACGUCCUACGGGAGAAAGCAGGGGACCUUCGGGCCUUGCGCUAUCAGAUGAGCCUAGGUCGGAUUAGCUAGUUGGUGAGGUAAUGGCUCACCAAGGCGACGAUCCGUAACUGGUCUGAGAGGAUGAUCAGUCACACUGGAACUGAGACACGGUCCAGACUCCUACGGGAGGCAGCAGUGGGGAAUAUUGGACAAUGGGCGAAAGCCUGAUCCAGCCAUGCCGCGUGUGUGAAGAAGGUCUUCGGAUUGUAAAGCACUUUAAGUUGGGAGGAAGGGCAUUUACCUAAUACGUAAGUGUUUUGACGUUACCGACAGAAUAAGCACCGGCUAACUCUGUGCCAGCAGCCGCGGUAAUACAGAGGGUGCAAGCGUUAAUCGGAAUUACUGGGCGUAAAGCGCGCGUAGGUGGUUUGUUAAGUUGAAUGUGAAAUCCCCGGGCUCAACCUGGGAACUGCAUCCAAAACUGGCAAGCUAGAGUAU
Molecule: ribosomal RNA, 570 nt
Filed under: Pseudomonas sp. Air152
Lineage: Bacteria; Pseudomonadati; Pseudomonadota; Gammaproteobacteria; Pseudomonadales; Pseudomonadaceae
Description: bacterial SSU rRNA
Rfam family: Bacterial small subunit ribosomal RNA
Source: RNAcentral